RNAcentral lists this ribosomal RNA (468 nucleotides) under uncultured bacterium. RNAcentral's name for it is "partial 16S ribosomal RNA". It matches the Rfam family "Bacterial small subunit ribosomal RNA", at positions 28 to 507 of the family's 1533-position model. The record is from RNAcentral.
GACGAACGCUGGCGGCGUGCUUAACACAUGCAAGUCGAACGGAAAGGCCCUGCUUUUGUGGGGUUCUCGAUUGGCGAACGGGUGAGUAACACGUGAGUAACCUGCCCUUGACUUUGGGAUAUCUUCAGGAAACUGGGGCUAAUACCGGAUAGGAGCUCCUGCACCAUGGUGGGGGUUGGUAAGUUUCGGCGGUUGGGGAUGGUCUCGCGGCUUAUCAGCUUGUUGGUGUGGUAGUGGCAUACCAAGGCUUUGACGGGUAGGCGGCCUGAGAGGGUGACCGGCCACAUUGGGACUGAGAUACGGCCCAGACUCCUACGGGCGGCAGCAGUGGGGAGUAUUGCACAGUGGGCCGAAGCCUGAUGCAGCAACGCCGCGUGCGGGAUGACGGCCUUCGGGUUGUAAACCGCUUUCGCCUGUGACGAAGCGUGAGUGACGGUAAUGGGUAAAGAAGCACCGGCUAACUACGUG